ACACUGCUGAAGAGUCCCAUAAUAGGACGAAACGGCCGUCCAGUAC
This is a non-coding RNA of Schistosoma rodhaini, 46 nucleotides long. The record is from Rfam. Lineage: Eukaryota; Metazoa; Platyhelminthes; Trematoda; Strigeidida; Schistosomatidae.